Chenopodium quinoa (quinoa) is the source of this 902-nucleotide long non-coding RNA. RefSeq lists it as uncharacterized. NCBI's taxonomy places the organism in Eukaryota, Viridiplantae, Streptophyta, Magnoliopsida, Caryophyllales, Amaranthaceae. The transcript has 2 exons. The record is from RefSeq and is a predicted model, not a curated record.
UAUAGUAGUAAAAUUCAGAAUACGGACAUUUUUAAUUCUACUAGUCCUUGCUUGUUACUUGUUGGUUGGUCGAAAAUGAACUGAAUUAAAUUGAGAUGAGAUUCGCCAUGAUGGUGCUAGUACGAAGCUAAGUGGUAUUUACAGCAGUACAAAUAGUUGUUAGUUGUAAGUUAAACAUGCAUAUAUAUGUUUUGUUUGUUUGUUUGUUUUGCAUUGUGAAAUGUGAUCCCGCAUCAACAAAACACAAUUCGCUGAUUAAAAUUAAACAAUGUCAUCUCGUUCAUUCAACAAGUCUUUAGAAAUAGAAGAAACCCGUUUAAGUAUGCCACACGACGAUGAUAAUGAUCAAUCAACACCAAGAACACCACCAGUACAACCCCAAUCUUCACGGUCAGAUGAUAGCUGUUUGGAGUUGAUAGGUGAUAAUAAUUAAUUAGUUUUUUCACCAGGUCCUUCGAAAAAAGUACAUCCUUCAUUGUUAGUUUAGUGGUGGUGACAAGAAGUGAAAAUGUAACCAAGAUAGCCGUGAAUUAUAAAAGCAAGGACAUGAAAAAUAGCACCUACUCUCAAUGUCUUAAGGAGAAGCAAAAGCAGAAAUCCAACUUCCUCCAUGAUUUACAGAACAAAGUUGAGCUGAUUAAUUUUGACUGGAAUGACCAUGUUGAACUUGAAAUAGGUUCAGUGAACAUCAUCAAAAGAAAAAAGCUCAAAGAAUCUGUUCAAGAGUACUUCAAAAAAAAUAAUAUCUUCACUGAUAGUUCAGUGGUGGUGUCAACAAGUGAAAAUGUAACCAAGAUAGCAGUUACUUAUACUUAUAAAUGCAUUAUGGACAAGGAAAAAAACACCUACUCUCAAUGUCUCAAGGAGAAACAAAUGAUGAAAUCCAAGCUCCUCGACGAUUU